UCGAGGAUUCGUCCAAGUGAAGUAGAGGACAGUGGCGGACGGGUGAGUAACGCGUGAGGAACCUGCCUUUCAGAGGGGGACAACAGUUGGAAACGACUGCUAAUACCGCAUGACACAUUGGGGUCGCAUGGCCUUGAUGUCAAAGAUUUAUCGCUGAAAGAUGGCCUCGCGUCUGAUUAGCUGGUUGGUGAGGUAACGGCCCACCAAGGCGACGAUCAGUAGCCGGACUGAGAGGUUAACCCCCACACUGGUACUGAGACACGGCCCAAACUCC
Molecule: ribosomal RNA, 274 nt
Filed under: uncultured Oscillibacter sp.
Lineage: Bacteria; Bacillati; Bacillota; Clostridia; Eubacteriales; Oscillospiraceae
Description: partial 16S ribosomal RNA
Rfam family: Bacterial small subunit ribosomal RNA
Source: RNAcentral